CCUUUUGACAUGACCACCAAGGAACUUCCAUUUGUUGCACCCGCUAUGGCACUGAUGUAGUAAUUAUUCUCCCAUUGCUCCAUAAUCCAAUCCUAAAAAAAUAUUGGUGAGAGUUCAUAAACUUGGGAUGUGAACCCAGUUCCCGCGUCCAUAAUAAGGGCCCAAAGAUUGGCUGAAGAUGCCACUGAGCUAAUGAACAAUCCAUCAUCAUUUCCCUUCUCUAUGUGUUGAUGAAGUCUGGCAUCUGCUACAUUUUUGUUACCUUUGUUUCAUGGGUCUCCUAGCAUUAUAGACUGAUAUCCACUGAUUUGCUGGGCUUCCAAGUCGAACUUUCUUCUUUGGUUGUUCAUCUUCUUCAAGAUUUACAAGCAACCUUCCACGUUUUUGUCCAGCCUGCAUAUAGAAACCAUUCAAUCACCAUCGAUUCUAAUAGGCCUCAAAUGCUGGGGCUCAAUCAAUUCAUCAAAAAGGGAAAUAAGCUUUGCGUAGUUUGGUUCUUCAUCAAAUCUCAUGUUUGUCACGCUCUCCAGGAAAAGUUUAAAAGGAGGGGGACAGAAACAGCACAAAAGGUCUGGAGAGGUAGCCAUUUUCUUCUUGCAAACAAGAAAACUCUUAAUGGAAACCUGGUAGCCUUGCCAAGGUAACCUUCCUCUGAGAAGAAAUAUUAAUGUAUAUGCUAAUGAUUCCAGAUCAUCCCUUCUGCUACCAGUACGGCCUAAAUGGGCAUGGACACUAGCAUAUCUUAUUAUAAAAAUUAACCUAAAUAUGUCUGGCCUUUGAUCAUAAUCAACAUGCUGUCCAUUUGGCGUUUCCUUCCAUUUAGAUGCUGAAAUUCCAAGAUCAAUCAAAAAAAGUUUCUUCUCAUCAGGUGAUCCAGGUUGGCCAAGUAGAAAAUUUUCUGGUUUAACAUCUCCAUGAACGAACCUGGUAAAAUUUUCUCAAGGAUAGAAAUUGCCUCUACAGCGAUGCAAGCAACCAUACUUGGGGUCAUCCUGCAUGAAACAUUGAAUUCCAAACAUCCCAAAGACUAGGUCCUAGUAUGUCCAUUACCUGAAAAGGUUACAAAUUUUAGCAGUUAUCCUAUCUCUAAGAUUGUAAUACUCAACUUAUUAUAGUGCAAUUACCUAUAAACUUGCCACUCAUAUGGAGGGCCAUAAUUGCAACCCUUACUGUUGCGGUGCUCGAAUUUCAAAGCUACCU
RNAcentral lists this small RNA (1200 nucleotides) under Oryza sativa Japonica Group (Japanese rice). RNAcentral describes it as "sRNA Os01g0772650". The record is from RNAcentral. Lineage: Eukaryota; Viridiplantae; Streptophyta; Magnoliopsida; Poales; Poaceae.